CCUACGGGUGGCAGCAGUGAGGAAUAUUGGCCAAUGGACGAGAGUCUGAACCAGCCAAGUAGCGUGAAGGAUGACUGCCCUAUGGGUUGUAAACUUCUUUUAUAUGGGAAUAAAAUGUUCCACGUGUGGGAUUUUGUAUGUACCAUAUGAAUAAGGAUCGGCUAACUCCGUGCCAGCAGCCGCGGUAAUACGGAGGAUCCGAGCGUUAUCCGGAUUUAUUGGGUUUAAAGGGAGCGUAGGUGGAUUGUUAAGUCAGUUGUGAAAGUUUGCGGCUCAACCGUAAAAUUGCAGUUGAAACUGGCAGUCUUGAGUACAGUAGAGGUGGGCGGAAUUCGUGGUGUAGCGGUGAAAUGCUUAGAUAUCACGAAGAACUCCGAUUGCGAAGGCAGUUCACUGGACUGCAACUGACACUGAGGCUCGAAAGUGUGGGUAUCAAACAGGAUUAGAUACCCGAGUAGUC
RNAcentral lists this ribosomal RNA (460 nucleotides) under uncultured bacterium. RNAcentral's name for it is "partial 16S ribosomal RNA". It matches the Rfam family "Bacterial small subunit ribosomal RNA", at positions 338 to 795 of the family's 1533-position model. The record is from RNAcentral.